UAAAGGUUUGCAAGGUCGUCUGCUCGGUCUUCCUACAGCCCACGUAGGACCUCCUGUCAGCGCCGGAGCCAGUGAAGUCGUCGAUCCGACAGCGUUACGAACGUGAACAUUUUUCCUUCAGCACUGCGGCGGAGGGUACAGGCGCUCAGACCAGGGAGAGACGGCUCAGGAGAUGGAUGUCCUUCGGACCACUGCUCUCAUUCUCCUCAUUGUGACUAUGGCAUCAUCAAAACCACUCAGAUGGCGCGGAAACAACCUCCGAAAAAUGGUCACCAAAGUAGUGGAGUCCUCAGAAUCCAGUGAGGCUGUCUCCUCGGAGGAGCUGGAUCCAGUGACCACUCCACCGGUCAUCCCCGACACGACCCUCCUGGCUGUCGUCACAGACACUCCUCUGCCCCUCAUCCCAGAGGCCACCCUUGAGCCUACACCCCCGCCCCUAGCUAUCGAGACCGGAGCCCCCCUAACCCUCACUGAGGGUCCUCCGAUUCCCGAUCUGCCAACUGAUCCAUUUUCAGCUGUGACACCAGACCUCGUUGAGCCUUUGGCUCCAUCUACGCCUCAACCUAUCAGCGGUCUCCCUCUAUGUGUUAAUGUAGACUUUUCAACGUACCCCCCGUUACCAAGCAGAGGUGACAACUUGAAGUAACGCAAAGCGAUACCAUUAGCUAGCAGGACGUUAUAUAGUCUCCCUCACAUUAUCCACAACCUUUCCCUGGCCUUCUGUGUUAGUAUUACCUGUUUAUAGGAUGAAGGUUCAGGAUGCUGACGGACAGGAACACUAUCCCUGGUCCAUGAAACAUUUAUCGAUCUAUGUCCAUAUAUGUCUUUUCAGCAUUUGUGAAGGUGACAUUCAUUGUUUUCCCAGCAAUGCUACCAAUAAAGGGUAUAUCAAACACA
Long non-coding RNA from Brienomyrus brachyistius, 897 nucleotides. RefSeq lists it as uncharacterized. NCBI's taxonomy places the organism in Eukaryota, Metazoa, Chordata, Actinopteri, Osteoglossiformes, Mormyridae. The transcript is spliced from 3 exons. The record is from RefSeq and is a predicted model, not a curated record.